RNAcentral lists this ribosomal RNA (421 nucleotides) under uncultured bacterium. RNAcentral's name for it is "bacterial SSU rRNA". It matches the Rfam family "Bacterial small subunit ribosomal RNA", at positions 359 to 772 of the family's 1533-position model. The record is from RNAcentral.
GAAUCUUCCGCAAUGGACGAAAGUCUGACGGAGCAACGCCGCGUGAGUGAAGAAGGUUUUCGGAUCGUAAAACUCUGUUGUUAAAGAAGAACAAGGAUGAGAGUAACUGCUCAUCCCCUGACGGUAUUUAACCAGAAAGCCACGGCUAACUACGUGCCAGCAGCCGCGGUAAUACGUAGGUGGCAAGCGUUGUCCGGAUUUAUUGGGCGUAAAGCGAGCGCAGGCGGUUCUUUAAGUCUGAUGUGAAAGCCCCCGGCUCAACCGGGGAGGGUCAUUGGAAACUGGAGAACUUGAGUGCAGAAGAGGAGAGUGGAAUUCCACGUGUAGCGGUGAAAUGCGUAGAUAUGUGGAGGAACACCAGUGGCGAAGGCGACUCUCUGGUCUGUAACUGACGCUGAGGCUCGAAAGCGUGGGGAGCAAA